UACGAAGGGGGCUAGCGUUGCUCGGAAUCACUGGGCGUAAAGCGCACGUAGGCGGAUUUCUAAGUCAGGGGUGAAAUCCUGGAGCUCAACUCCAGAACUGCCUUUGAUACUGGGAAUCUCGAGUCCGGGAGAGGUGAGUGGAACUGCGAGUGUAGAGGUGAAAUUCGUAGAUAUUCGCAAGAACACCAGUGGCGAAGGCGGCUCACUGGCCCGGUACUGACGCUGAGGUGCGAAAGCGUGGGGAGCAAACAGG
This 253-nucleotide ribosomal RNA is filed under the name uncultured bacterium. RNAcentral describes it as "partial 16S ribosomal RNA". It matches the Rfam family "Bacterial small subunit ribosomal RNA", at positions 524 to 776 of the family's 1533-position model. The record is from RNAcentral.